GGUAGAGAGGCGUCAAGCGGGCAGAUUCACCUCCCGCCCCGAAUACUUAGCUGGGAUAACGGAAUAGGACCCCGACCUUCUACCCUCAGUCGGUCCCGUUUAUACAGCGAGGUCCAUCAGGGUAAUGAUUAAUAGGGAUAGUCGGGGGCACCAAUAUUUAAUCGUCAGAGGUGAAAUCCUUGGAUCUAUGAAAGAUUAACCCCUGCGAAAGCGUUUGCCAAGGAUGUUUUCAUUAAUCAAGAACGAAAGUUAGGGGAUCGAAGACGAUCAGAUACCGUCGUAGUCUUAACCAUAAACGAUGCCGACCAGCGAUUAGGAGACGUUGAAUACAAAACACCGCUGUUAGUCCUUUCGGGGAUUAAUAGUUGGUGAAUGACCCCCUGGGACCCUGGUGAGAU
This 398-nucleotide ribosomal RNA is filed under the name Acanthamoeba sp. 1 VJM-2013. Its description in RNAcentral is "bacterial SSU rRNA". It matches the Rfam family "Eukaryotic small subunit ribosomal RNA", at positions 765 to 1112 of the family's 1831-position model. The record is from RNAcentral. Lineage: Eukaryota; Discosea; Longamoebia; Acanthamoebidae.